Molecule: long non-coding RNA, 446 nt
Organism: Peromyscus eremicus (cactus mouse)
Lineage: Eukaryota; Metazoa; Chordata; Mammalia; Rodentia; Cricetidae
Exons: 4
Source: RefSeq, a predicted model, not a curated record
CACGCCUCAAGAAGUUGUGCUUAGUCUUCCAAUUGUUUGGAAAUCAUUUUGGAGAAAGGAAAGAAGAGAAAAAAAGCUGUUGGGAGAUUACAAAGACCAUCAUAAGUUCUUUGGCAUCUGGCAGUCCAAAGCAAGUCCGACUACAUGAGAAGAUGAGAACCUGUGGAUUGCUUCCAGGCAAAUAUGGUUUGACCAGCCAAGACCCCCUGAAAAGUCUCCAAUGACACCAUGGCACAGAUGAUCCAACAUCCAAAAUCAACUUCAAGCCAACUGGCUCAGAGAAUACAGCCUCACAGACUACUCCAGUCUGAGUGGCUGCGGGACCAUGAGGCUGCGGGAGCUGAGUGGGACUGGGAAAACUUCAGCUACACUCCACAGUAUUCCAUGUGUAUACUAUGCUUUGUAUACUCAUCUGUUGUCAGGCACUUAGAAAACAAUGACCAAAA